RNAcentral lists this long non-coding RNA (433 nucleotides) under Chrysemys picta bellii (western painted turtle). RNAcentral describes it as "lncRNA (ENSCPBG00000012365.1)". Lineage: Eukaryota; Metazoa; Chordata; Testudines; Emydidae. The record is from RNAcentral.
GAGAAAUCAGCUACCUUGGUGCUGAAAACAGUAGCUUUGACAUCCUCUAAACAGAUUCCAGAAUCCCAUGGACUGAACACCACAGUCUAGACUAACUGACAGACAGAAUUCUUCUCCUGUUAGGAAUAAUCCAGGAACAGUGAGGAAAGUGCUGCUGCUGCUUCUCCAGCAGCUGUAGUUGUUCCUGCGAGAGGAGCCCAGGUGAGCAGCUGCUGGCUGAUCAUAAAGUCUGGAAGCAAACAACAAAUGUCCAAGCAGUUAUUUCUUCCCUAAACUUAGAAUGAAUCCGUAGUAAGAAACCAUUGGCCUUCUCUACAGCACCUUUACCCCAUAGCUCUGAGGGCUUUACGAAGGUAGGUUAAUAUGGCUUUGUCUUCCUAGUGCAUUCCAAAAAUUUAACUAACCCUCAACAUCCCUAUGAGAUGAGCAGGUA